RNAcentral lists this long non-coding RNA (13312 nucleotides) under Linum usitatissimum (flax). RNAcentral describes it as "long non-coding RNA (LUSI_LNC006843)". Lineage: Eukaryota; Viridiplantae; Streptophyta; Magnoliopsida; Malpighiales; Linaceae. The record is from RNAcentral.
UUUUUUUUUGUUGCUAAAACAUGUCUUCUGUGUGAUACUCAUACUCCUGUAUGGCUGAUCAGAAAGGUCACGGUAUACCAGAUUCGUUAGUGAAAGAGGUGAAGAGUAUAGCUCACAAGUUUUUCCAUCUUCCUUACGAGGAGAAGUUAAAGAUCAAAAUGAGUCCUGGAGCUGGAUAUAGGUUAGGCCUUGUUCAACCAAUCUGAUAUAUUAUUAUUGUUAUUAUAAGAAAAGAGGGUAGUAAUAGGUCACUACUCAAACAAACAAUGCAGAGGAUAUCAGAGAGUUGGAGAGAAUGUAACCAAAGGCGUCCCUGACAUGCAUGAAGCUAUUGAUGUAAGCUCUCUCCUCUUUCGACUCUAAAACCAGGAGGACUUUUAGACUGAAACAGUAGAGUAAAAAUUUGUUUCCUGGACAGUGCUAUACAGAAAUAGAACCUGGGAGGUAUGGAGCUCUUGGCAAGGCAAUGGAAGGAUGUAACCAGUGGUAUGUAUUUAUACAAACCGAAUUUAGAAUUUCAUAAAGACAAAAUGAUUUAUUGGUUCAUCUUGUUAGUUAAUCUGGAAAUGACAAUGUUGGUCGUAUAUUUUCCAGGCCGGAGUCUCCACCCAAUUACAAACAAGUGAUGGAGGAGUACAUAAGCCUUUGUACAGGCAUGUUUUAUUGUUCCAACUGCCCCCAUCUUCGUUGCUUUUAUGUGGUUGACAAAGUUGCAAUCUACUGUUAACAGAACUGUCGAGAAAAAUUAUGCAAGGUAUUGCUUUGGCAUUGGGCGGAUCGCCAUCUGAAUUUGAAGGUGAUAUAGCUGGAGAGCCUUUCUGGGUGCUGCGCAUCAUUGGUUACCCUGGUCUUACAGCAGAUGAUCAUUACAAAUCUGAACAUGAUGUUGGAUGGUAAUGCAUUUCGCAUUCUGUCUGUCCACGGUUUCACUUUAUUUGCUUCUUUUCUGUUUUUUUUUCUUGUGUUGUUUCGGAAGGUUAAGGCUGAAUCACUGUUUCCUUUGUGACCAAACAAUUAAAGUGGAGCUCAUACCGACUAUGGUAAUAUUCAUUCAUUUGCUCUGCUGGAGUGUUUUUGAACAUGUUAUUCUACUCAUCUUCCAUACUUCAUUACAGGCUUGUUGACGUUGGUUAAUCAGGACGAUGGUAUAACUGCACUUCAGGUAUCUGCAACAUCCCUUCUAACUUCACCCUCUACUAACUCUACGAUCUUAAAAAUGAAGUAAUGCUGCACACUUUAAAGAGCAUGUUCGUUGGUCCUUGUUUAUCCUGUUUUCCAAGGUGAGGAAUCUAUCUGGCGCGUGGAUAUCUGCUCCACCGAUACCUGGUACAUUCGUAUGCAACAUAGGGGACAUGUUGAAGGUAUUUCUCCUACUUCUUUCACUUUUGUUUCUGAAUCAUGCUAGUUGAAGCUGCUCUCAUUAGUUACAACUGCAGAUAUGGAGUAAUGGUAUCUAUGAUUCAACUGUUCAUCGAGUUGUCAAUAACAACACCAAAUAUCGCGUCUGUGUUGCUUAUUUCUACGAGGUCAGUGACAUAUCACAUAUCACAUGCAUUCCAAUCAUAGCAUGACUUGGCUGCACGAAAGAUGUUCGUCAAUCUCAUACCCUUCUCUUUUCGCAUGGUUGUUUGCAGACGAAUUUCGAUGCGACAGUUGAACCCGUAGAUUUUUGCAUCAAGAAGAGUGGUGGAGUAAGGAGGUUGGGAAGAGCUGUGUAUGGAGAACAUUUGGUUUCCAAAGUUCAAACAAACUUCGUCUGAUCACAUAUAUUUCACUGCGUUGUACAAUGGCAAUAGCAAGUAUACAAUGCACUAAACUAGACAAUCUUCACGGCUGAAAUAAAUCAGGGUUGAUGGUAUUUUCAUUUGAGUCUGAUUUGUUCGAUUACCUAAAUAAGAAAACAAGGUGAAUGCCCUUAAUGGCAAUAAUUUAAUCGUCAAAAAGCAAUCAAUACCAUCCUGUCAGAUUAAAGUCAAACAUGUAAAAUAUGGAACACCUCUAAUCUGUUUAAUACGCAAAAAUAGUGCAGGAGAAGAUAACGAAUGAAUUUGCAAGUUAUGCAAACAAUACAAAGUGAAAUGCCAUUACUGCAGUCUCUGACAGCGAUAAAAACUGCAAAGCAGCCAUCAAAUGAAUCAUCAUACAUAUUAAAGCAUCUGUAUACAUAUAGUAUUCCACAGUGUCAAUGACACUUCUAAUCGCAUUGCGUUUCAGGAUUGAAUUCAGAUAUCAGAAUUAGACUCGACCACUGUCGUCGACUCAGCUUGGUAACCCACCAGCACAAGUUAUAGGCCUAGCUGCAUCUGCUUCUUUAACGUAAAGGGGAAUCCUCCCACCCAGCUUCUUCAGACGGUCCACCAUAUCAUACAUAAAUUCAAAGGUGAGCCUGGAUUGAGCAUUGAGGUCCUCUCGUACAUGAGGAUGAAUCCUGAACCACUCACCUAACAUCUUAUGGACAUGGGAUCGAAUCAUUCUCCACGGCACAGGGUACUCCUCACAGAGCUUCAAAUACUCCACCACCAAAUCUGCCUGGUCAAGUAAUCCAUCUCGAUGGCUUUCCUUGUCACCUUCGACCCAUUCAGGUGUACGGUAUCCAGCAAAGACUGCUGGAUUCUCGAGCAGAGUCUCUGCUGAAAGCACUCCCUCCACGCCUGUUUCUUUCAAACAAUCAUGAACGUCUUCGAUGUGACGGAUGUUUCCAUUAGCAAGGACUGGGAUUCUCACUGCUUCUCUUAUGGUCUUGAUUGCUUUCCAGUCUGCCCUGAACUUCUUCCCAUCUUUUUCAUCUCUUGUCCGCCCAUGGACAGCCAACACCCAGCAGCCAGCUUCCUCCAACAUUUUGGCAUAACUAAUCGUGUCUUCCAAUUUCGGGAAUAUCCGAAUUUUACAGGAUACACGGAUGUGAUUUUGAGAUAGCUUCUCAACCAGAGACUUUACAAGUGGCAAGUUAUCCAUUAGAAAUGCUCCAUAGUAACCCCGUCUGGCUAUCCGCUGAGGACAACUGCAACAACACAAAUCACGCUUUCAGCAACAGUUACCAACAAAAUCUUGGUGCAAUCAAUAUGUUCAUAGCAGAUUUCAAAAGAAAAACUAGGAGCAUUUUCAUAAUGCACACACGAUUCAGUCUAUACUUGAUAGUUUCUACUUAGUUUCUGUUUCUACAGAAAAUUUAUCCAACACCCACCCGAAAUUGAUAUCAACAUAAUCGCAAUGAGGCUGCACUCUCCCUGCAGCUUCAAGUAGGGUUUCUGGAUCAUUCGCACAAAAUUGAACAAAUAGCGGCCGAUCCUCCUACACAAUUUCAAAAGUUGGAAAGAUUCAUAUGCACUAUCAGUACAGCCGAAACAUUACUCCUCAUUACUCAGCAGAAGCAAAUUUACCUUACAAGUAGUGAACUCUUGGGUCCGGUACUUUUCAUUCUCGGUGAAAAUCCUCGAAUGCAGCAUGGGCGUGUAAGCAGCUUCGGCUCCAUACUUUUUGCAGAGCAGCCGAAAUGGCAGCUCGGAGUUGUCAACCAUCGGAGCGACGAUAGACUUGGGCCGUCCAAGCUUGAUCCAAUACACCCACGCUCGCUCCGCAUGAGACUCACCACUCAGGUAGCCAUUGGGGGAAGGUGAGAUGCGAGAAGGCUCUGCUGCUGAAGAAGUAGAGAAGUCUUUCUCUCGCUGGUGUUCAACGGAGCAGAGAAUAUCAUCUGCAGUUGGAGGAGGCGGAUCGACAAGCUGGGUGAGGGAAGAAGCCAUGGGAUAUCUAGUUGCUGGGUAUAUGAGAGGUUGGAGGUAGGGAUGACGAGAGAAGAUGGAUCUCAUCGGCGGGCGACGGGGAAGGAGAUGCAACACAUCGCCGCCAUUGAUGAUGGUCUAAUAUUUUUGGGUCAAGUAGUGUCCCUCCUCUUGUAUGUGGCGUGAGAGAGGUUAAGGUUUUGGAAACUGAAUCCUAAACGACGCCCUAGUUUUUGAAUUAAAUGACUCAUUAAAAUAGUGAAUUAUUAAAUUAUUCUUGCGUAAAUAUUGAAAAUUUAUAAGAAGUUCAAUCUUCGACAAACACAUUCAAUCUAAAACACAAAAACUCAAAGUUUCGGCAGAAGUUGAAGAUCCUAACUCGAAGAUACGAUGAGAAAUUGAAGUUCUGAGCUUGAAAAUCGACGACUUUCCGAUCAGGUAACCCUCAAUAAGUUUCGUCUGGCCAGCGCUGUCCGUCUAGAAAAUUACAUUUUUUUAAUAAUUAAAAGUAUUUAAUUGUUGAUAAUUGUGUAGUUAGAAUGAACUUAAUGAAUUCUGAAUUAGUUUAGGGUUUAGGGUUUAGGGUUUUAAUGAAUUUGAAUAGUUUAGUAUUCAAUGAUAGACCCCCCCCCUUCUAACUUCACGAUGGAGAUUUAUGCCAGAUGACGGCGAGGAGGAGUUAUUUGGUGGCUACGAGUCUGAUACCUAUCCGCCUCCACCGUUUAGGGUUUUCACUGGUUCGUCUCAUACUUCAACGAGCGUUGGUGUUGCAGCUGGGAUAGAUGCUCGUUUUGCUCCUGCCACGAGUACAUGGAAGCACUGAAAGUGAAGGUCAAUCAUAUAAUUAGGACGGCUACAGACUAUACUACAUCAGGGAAAAAAAUGUUGUAAGGAAAAACUACACACCUCUGUUAGGAAUAGAGGUUGGGAAAAAAAUGUUGUAAGGAAAAAAUACACACCUCUGUUCGGAAUAGAGGUUCUAGACAUGCUUGGGGUGGGUUUAGCUGCUUGCGGCGUUGAGCGACAUGUUCGGUGAUUUACUUAUGUUACAAACCUCGCAUAACAAUGACAUCGGUAAGUUAAUGUAACAAAGCACAAACCUGAUUUGGUCUUGCCCUUAGAUGGCGUACAAUUGAGCGCUCGCAUGCUCGUGGUAUGAAGGGUUCCGCCCAUCCGUCUUUCGCACACGGGGCCUGCCCUUAGGCGCGUCCGACUUCUUCGGCUCUUUCACUCCGUCAGAUUCUGGUUGAUACUGGGACCGCACCAGUGAAGUCAAUGCACGUACAGCGGGCCUACCUCUAUCACAAAUUGUCUGUACCAUUCCGCUGAGGAUGACGCGAUCUGUCGCGUCAUGGUCUUCCCCCUUCUCAUUGUCUACAGGAAGACGGUAUUCCAACGAUCGCCAAAAGUGGUGGAGAUGCGCUCCAUAGAUUCGAGCCUACAAGUACAAGGUAGGCCAUGCAUAUCUUCGAUCACACAAUCACAAUCGUCCUUACCUGAUAACGCCUCAUUCACCAACUCAAUACCCCAGAGGCUGACUUCAUUUUUCAGAUACGUAAACGGUCGUCUAUGCGAGAAACGAUGAGUCUACACCAAACCAAAAAGCUAGUUACGUACAACAUAACCAAAUAACUAGUGAUUAACUAAAUAUUUAUCUAAACAAUACAUUACCUUGCUUCGUGAUUCAUCGAUGGCCCGUUGCACUUCUAUGACUUGGCCCUCGAUCGAUGCAUGAUAUCCCUCAAAUAGUGUAUCAAGUCCCUGAUUGGAAGAGUUGUACCAUGUUUUGAUAGACGAGUGCUGAGAGUCCACCCUGUUCGUACUAAAAUCGGGAGUCUUUGGAAAUACGAUGCGGAGAGCCGCUGCCAGACCUCGCUCCUUAUCAGCCACAAAUGCAGUAGGUUGCCGCCUACCCAACAUCAACUCCAGACAUUCCAACACCCAAACAGAAGACUUUGUUUUUUCAUUAUCAACGAAUGCAAACCCGAUGCUAAAGUUCUUCCGCACCGGAGUCACACCAACCAACUGGAUCACUGGCUUCCUAUAGGCGUUGGUGUUGAAAGUCGAGUCAAUCAUAAUCACAAAAUACCAUGAGCUAAGCAUCUGGACACAUUCGGGGUGGGUAAAAAAUAGAUGAACAAGAUUGUCAUCAUCAUCCUUUAAGUAAUAAACGAAAUAACCUAGUUCUGUAGCCUCACGCAAAUUCCACUCUAUCAGAUCCAAACCAUCUAAUUUCUCCUUCCUAAUCUUGUAUGACUCGUUAUAAAUCUAGUUCAUAUUGUGACGAGUGUUGAACUUCUUAUUCAAAGAAUACAUGAUCUUAUUCGGUUAUGUGUGAACAGCCAUCAUAUCCCGAAUAUCUUUUUUCGCCUCAUCUGAUAAUAGAUUGCUUUCCGUGCUUACUUAAGUGAAAUGAAUCAGAGGAUGAUUGUGGUACCCCUUCGACUUAUCAGAGUUCUUUAUGUCUCCGACUCCGUCAAUCUACCACCUUUGAUCGGGCGGCAAGUCUGAAUGGGAAAUUACACUUCUUUGACUUCGUAGCACGUUUCGAUGGAUUUGAACCCUUUGAUCAGAUGGAAAUUAAGCGUCAAAGCAAUCUGUUUUGCUGCUUGCGCCGCUUCAUCGAUAGUGUCGUACACAUUAUCGGAUAUGAACCAGUCGGAGUAAUCAAUUUUGUCACCGGCAUCCAUUUCCUACGGAAUAUCAACACCAAAAUGAAUCAUUUACAUACCCUAUUCGUUGAUAAUGCUAAAGAAACUGGCCAAACAAAUACCGUGGUACUCGUUGACAUGUCGUAUGCAUAAACCCUAUAUUUAAAGUAUCCAAAUCAGUUAAUCAAUCAACAUAAAAUUAAAGAAACUAAAAAAAUUUAAUUACAAACAAAAAAAUUGGACGGACCGGGGUUCCGUCCGCUUAAUCAAAUCGGACGGCGUCCGGUUGGUCCGUUCGAAUUUUAUUUUUUUCCAAAUCCAAAAUUCAAUUUCGUACCUUUCCAAUUUUUUCCGUGGUUUGUCGAGAGUGUUUUCGACCAACUAAACCAUACUAAAUAAGGGUUUUUUGAAUUGAACUAGUACGUUUUUCAUGUUUUUCAUUUUUAUGGAAUGGACAUAUAGGUCAUUAUGAAUGUAGGGCAUCGUUUAAUUCGAAAACCAGGGCGUCGUUUAGUAACCCUCUUUUGGAAAUUAACCAACUUAUCAUUCUUUGAUGGACCGUUAGAAUGAGCUGAUUAAUAACAUGGGUUGGGCCGUCACUUUUUAAAUAUAAACUACUAAGUUGAAUUUAAUGAUAUAAUGAUUUAUCAUAUGAUAAUAGAGUUUUAUAUUAAACGAUUGUGUGUUCGAAUUAUGUAAAUAGUUUUAAAGGUAUAUGUACAUUUAUUAUAUGAUUCAUAGGUCAUAAGCUUUUCAAAAAUUUCUAUCUAUUUUGCUACGCUAUUCAUCUAUGUCAACUUCAAUAUUUUAAUUAAAAUGAAAUGAACCGAACCCCUGACAAAAACCGAAACAAACAAGACCAAAUCAAGGAGAAAAGUGACCCUCUAUCUUCUCCAACAUAUAUUUUCUUUGAUCUCUCUUUAUGAAUCAUUUGGGUGGAUGAUUUUAGAUAAAAGAGAUUUAAAAUAGGUAAAUAUUUGAAAUAUAAGUGAUUUGGAUGGAGCUUGUUAUUUUUGAAAUAGACCGUUUAGAUGGUUGAUUUGUGAUUUUAAGUGCAAUUGUUAUAGAGAGAAGAAAAAUAAAAGAAAAGUAAAAAAUACAAAAAUUCAUCUCAUUGUAUGAAAAUUAUUAUUGAUAUUGAAUGUAUUGUGUAACUCCUUAUUCUAUGAAUCAAUAUAUUUCAUUCUUCUCAUUUAAAUGUAAUAAUGUUAGAUUGUAUAGUUUAUGAUUGUUAUGAACCUAUUUAUUCGAGUUUUUGUGAGAGUGCCAAUAUAGCUAGUAUAUCAUUUUCUUAACACCCCCACAAAAGAAAGCCAACUCAUGAGCUUAAAGUUUGCACAGUCCCACCAGACCUUGUGAUUUUAAAUCAAAUGUUAAUAUUAGGGUCAUGGAAAUUCAAACACAUGGUUGUUUAGUCUAAAACUCUGAUACCAUGUCAUGAAGCGUUACAUCCCAAUAACUAAAGUUGUUGGGAGAUGGUUAAUUAUGGGUCUUAUACCAUUCUCUUACAAUGAUCAAAUGAACUUAUAAAUAGAGCUCGCACUUGUAAUAUUCUACGCAGCUCAAUAAAAAGCUUUCUCCCACUUCCUAUUUAUAUUAGGCUCUUGUCUUCCUGUGUACUUAGUUAUAAUAUGGUAUCAGCAUGAGAUUUCUAUCCUCGAAAGUUCAUAAAUGUUGUGUUACGUGCAUAUUUUUUUGGAGUUUUACAAUUAAUAAAAAAUUAUUAUUGUAAUUAGAAUAUUAUUAGGUAAUGUUUAUUGUUAUGUUGGACAUUAGGUUUAGUGCUCGUCUCUUAGAAUUAUUAGUUGAUUAUUUUUUAGUUGUUUAUUAUGUUAGAGUUAAAUAUAACAAAACCUAUAAAAGGCUACUACUUUACACACUGAAAGGGGGAAGAAAAUAAAUCCCAAUUUAUUAAUUACUUUCAAAAAGUUUUACGUUUCUUGUAAACAAACCCAAAAAAUCAUUAAAAUACCAACUGUCAUCAUAAUCGUCAUCUUUAUUAUAUCAAUCCAGUAACUGUGCCGUAAUAAGCAUGUUACAAGUGGUAUCAAACUCGGUCGGUCGGUUCAUUCGAUAAACCUCGCUUUUCAAAUUACGAUGGAACCAACAAUCCAACACCAUGGAAUUAUCGAUUUGGAUAUUUUACUAUUAACAAUAUAUCUGAAAAUUGGUGCAAGUUGAUUGGAGCACAAAUCUAUUUGGAGGGAAAAACACAAUUGUGGGUUCAGGAAUUCAAGAAAGAAUCUGUCAGGGAAAUCAUAUGGAAGGAGUUAAAAGUCUAGAUACAAUCUCGAUUCAAGAUCGAGUUUCCUAGGAUUUUUUGAGAUGACGAUCCGACUACGUUGAUUUUUGAAGCUAACCAAUAUUUCAAAAUCCAUCAAACCAUCGAUGCCGACAAAGUCUUGAUAGCUUUGAUUUACCUUGAGGGAGAUGUACAACUGUGGCUUCAAAUUAUAAAAGAUUCAAAUUAAAAAUUGACUUGGAAACAACUGAUGGACAACAUGCAUUCAUGAUUUGGUCUGAAAAAAUUCCAAAAACCUGUGUACAAUCUCAAUUCCCAUCAGAUUAAUCCACUCCAAUCUUGUUCAACUAAAAUUUCUCAAGAGAACCCCAUGGUGAACACACUUUCAAUGACCAUGACGAGUCAACAAUGUAGAGGAAUGAAGCGGCAAUUGACAAGGCCAUAAACUGCCAAUGAUGUUGCAGUAGCGCAUAGGUUGGCAUAAAAAAAAUCACACGCAAGGCUACUGUUGUCCAAAACAUUGCUUUUGUCCAUCAUAUGAAGAAUGGGUUUUGGGUUCAUCAACAUGGUAUUCUUAUGAAUAUUGAUUUCAAAGAUGCAAGUAUUGGAUUUGUGAGUUUUCUUGGCCGAUUUUAACUUGAAUUGCAAAGCGACCACACAUAGCUGCCAUGAUAAUUGUAUUCGGAAAGAAAUGAUAGCUGCAAUUAAAAUUAACAUAUCAGAAUAUCAUAUUCAUAAAUAAUAACACCUCUCGCACAUAAUAUAAUUACGCCUUAGUUAAAAUCAGCAACUACAUUCGGUAGUACCGAAUUUGCAUUCUCAGUUACCGUAGCCAAGUUUUUUCUUUCAAAUGUUUCAGCCUCAUGACCAGAGUUUACUUUUAUCUUCACCCAUCUCAUAGAUAUCUCUUGGCUUAAGGUGCACUGGCAUACACCACCCUUUGUCUUUCAUAUCAUCAAAAUAGUAUACCAUUUUAGCACUUCUUGCACUAAUGUUGGCUCAUCUUCAGUGUGUACACAUGUGUGUAUAAGAGGUUGUGUGAAGUUGACUAGGAUGAAUCCUAAAUAAUCUUUCUUCAUCGCUCUUUUAGUUAGUGUAUUAGCCCAUUUCCAUCUGAACAGUGUGACAAAUCUACCAGUGUAAUUUACCUCCAAGAUAUCUGAUAAUUUUUAGUAUGGCACUGAUCCUUGAAUUGGACGAAUGUUUGUUGUGCUUGCAAAACUCUGAGUGCCCUUAUCAGAAAAACUCUACUAUUUUGUGUUGUCAUCAUUUUUUUGCGAUCAAGUGUGCGAAAUCUGUACCCGUUCAAGUCAAAUGCUAUAUAUCUCACAAUUUCAAUUAAUGGUCAUUGGGCAAGUAGUUGUAGAUCAUUGGAGUGGGUUGUCAGUUAAUAAUCAAUGAUCUAAAAAAGUCAUACUUUCUUUGAUUAUAGUGUAACAAAUACAAACUUUCUGUCUAGAAGUGAUGAAGGUGUGUAAUUUAAUUAACACACGUACACACCUACGAAAGCGAUCCACAAAUUAUCGAUGAAGCAAUUUCUCAAAUUCUUUCUGAGUUAUUCGCCUAAUGCCUCUAAACUGUCUCUUAAUAUGAAGUAUGCACUCUCUGUAGUUGUCAUAGAAAGAGUAACCGGAGAAACCGUUUUGAGAUAAAAAAAAAAUUGGACAAAGGUAUUACGUAGAUGAUUCUACUCCUUCAGCAUUGAAUAAGACAUAUCGAUGAGCUUGCAGGCGCUCUAACUCAAUAAGUUUGAAAUGUGUCACACCACUAAAGUUUGGCAAUGGAGGGACAAACAACAAAAGGUCUAGUAGGAUAUCUAACAAAAUCAUUAACUCGAUUAUCACGAUUAAAUCAAGUUUCAACCAUUUCUUUCACGUACAAGGAAUUGAACGUCAACUUCUCAUCUAGAAUCUAACAGUCUGCAAACCCUUUUAAUGGAACCUUCAGGGAUUGCUCUAUUUCCAAAAAACCCUCUAUUUUCGCAAGAACCUUUCAAUAGGGUACAUCCGUUGAUACUAUAUAGAGCCCCCAAUUCUAACUUCAUCAACCAAAUAAAGUAUUAAAUGUACCAUGACAGUGAAGAAUGAUGGUGGGACGAUUAUCUCCAUAUGACAAACAACAAGUACUAACCGUUCUUGCAACUUGUCAAGUUGAUUCUUGUUGACAACCAUAGAAGAUAAUUCAUUCAUACAUGAUGAGAACUCAACCAACAUUGAUGCAACUUGUUUGGGAAGAACAUUCCUAAUGCAUAUCGGAAACAAUUCACAAUACAAUGUGAGAACCAUGACUUUUGAGACCCAACAUCUUACAUUGAGUCAAAUCUACACAUUAAGAAAUAUUACUAGAAUAUCCAGAUGAAACCGACACAACUUUCAACUUAUGUAAUAUUAUGUCAAUCUUUUGUUUGGCUAAUGUAAAUAUAGUUGUUGGGCAUUUUACAUCGACUUUCAGCCAUAAUAAGUCUUUAUGAAUUCGCAUAUCAACGAAGUUUAGACAUGUUUUUAAGUGGUCUUUCUUCCUUCUAUCUUUAUCAUUUAACAAUGUAAACAAGUUAUUGUCACACACAUUUUUCUCUAUAUGCGUGACGUCUAGAUUAUGUCAAAGUGGAUUGGAUUCUCAAUAUGUGAGAUAAAAAAUGCUUCGCUUCUUCCAUUGCGCCUCAUCCUCUCUCAUACUCUUUUUUUUCCUGUGAGAGGAUCUAACCCAACCAUUUGUUCCAACAAUUCUGACCCUGAAAACAACUUUCCUAGCUCUCUUUUAUAUGUGUUUCCAUCGAAUUAAGUUUUCAACAAUCUGAAACGAUGGCUACAUGGUAAAAAACAACAAGUACCAAUGAAAUACGACUUCAAAGUUUUUGGAAACCGUAGUGCAAUUGCAUCAACAUUAGAAGACGGGCAAGCCAUGCCAUUAUGAGUGUUCUAACCAGAUAACAAUUCUAACCUAGAAAAUCAUAAACUAUUCACAUCAUCCAAACUGUCAACAAAAUUAUGGCACUGACAGUUUUUCAACAGAUGAAAAGACGGGGAUGUAAAAGGGUCAAAAAGGUGCAACAUAAGGGGGUGAUUGAAAAGUUUUUGCAGCUCCACACGUGUCAGUACGUGAAUAAAAGAUGGGGAAAAGUGGGAUGUGACCCAUAUUUUUUAAAAAGAGAAUCAUGUAGUUUUGAGAAUAGUGCGACCGGAUCUACAAGUUUUACCAUCGAAUAGGCGCUUAUUUGGAUGCUACAUUCGGAAGAAAUGCAUCGGCAAAGAAAAAUCUAUCAAAAAAUACCUCGGAACCGGAGCGAAAAUUCUCAUGCAAUGGGAAUGGGAGAUAGUGCAACUCCUACUAAGAUGGUCGUUGCCUGAUAAAGAAAAUGAAGGGGCAUUAUGUCUCGUUCUCUGCCACAUCAUCCAAAAUAUCAAGAAUGCAGAAAUGGGUUGCUUUUUGAAGUUAUCAGUGAUGAGAAUGAAAUUUUUUUAUUUAGAUGUGUCUAUACACGAAUACAAUAUGAAUGGUCAAAGGAUAAAGGGAAAUAUGUCAUAAGGGUACAGAAAAAAAAACAUAGCGAGUACAUACAGAUGCAAAAGAUGAAAAAAAUCAAAACGUUGGGGCGUCGCCCACUUAGCCGCCGCAUUGGGUCAAGCAUAUCACCCUCAUAACUCUUCAUUACCUCAUCGAACCUUUGGGUAAGUAGACACAUGCGGCAGAACACUAAUGUGAAUAACAACCGAGAUCAACAUCCAUCUCAAACAAUCAGACAUCGCACGAAGUAAAGGGACAUGCAAACUUUGGAGGGCCUCCAGUUUUGGUUCGUGAAGUUUGAGAAUGAGGCAGGGGAGGAAUGAGGAAACAAAAUAGAGUGGAGUAGUAAAAGGAGUAAGAGUGACUUUAUAAAGGAAUGAUGGCCUCUUUAUCCGCCCACUCUUUUUGCUCUCUUUGUAUACCAACGGUGACAGACAAGACCAUAAAACUUUGAACCAUUAUCACUAGAAUAAGAUCUUCGCAUAUAUCAUUCAGUCAAAAGAGUCAACAAAGAGAGGAAGAAAACCAAGAAUUAUCAUUCAAACAUCGUCAUUUCAAUACAAAGGGGUUGAAAAUAACGUGCAAUAAGAAAUGAUAAACAAGAAAGAGUAGAAAGGUACAACGCUUGGGGUAGCAAGAUCAGAGGCUUUGUUAUCGGUAGUUGAAAAGCGAAAUCACUCCGUAUACUCCAUUAUCUCCCGAGAGACAGCAACAAGCAUCUCGAUUAAGAGGAACGAGACCAUGAAGUCAAAACCAAAGAGACCCAUGAGCACCACGCAGAGAAUGCAUUCUGCCAUUAGAUGGAGUUGGGGUGUCAAACAGUUAUGAGAAAAAAAUUAUUCAAUUUUGGAGCUUUGAAGAGUAGGAAGGAGAAGGAAGAAAUUGAGAAGAGUUAAAGAGAAAAGAAAAUGAGGGAUGGGAACUUAUAAGAGAAGUGUCGGUCAGAAAAAGGAAAACAAAUUCAAAAAGGGCAGAAAAAUAAAUUCUAAAAUUGAAAAUAAUAAAAUUAAUGGUAUAUCCUGAAAAUCUAACUAAUACAUCAUACCCCUACUAUAAUACACAGAACCAAAGGUCGAAAGCAUGUUUCUACUCAUCUCGCAUAUGGUUAUGUCAAUAACAAGGGAUGAAAGGGGAUGCAAGAGAAAAAAAAACCCUCACCUAAAAGCGCUAAGUUGCUUGAAUGAUGAUUGACU